CCUAACACAUGCAAGUCGAACGGUAACAGGAAGAAGCUUGCUUCUUUGCUGACGAGUGGCGGACGGGUGAGUAAUGUCUGGGAAACUGCCUGAUGGAGGGGGAUAACUACUGGAAACGGUAGCUAAUACCGCAUAACGUCGCAAGACCAAAGAGGGGGACCUUCGGGCCUCUUGCCAUCGGAUGUGCCCAGAUGGGAUUAGCUAGUAGGUGGGGUAACGGCUCACCUAGGCGACGAUCCCUAGCUGGUCUGAGAGGAUGACCAGCCACACUGGAACUGAGACACGGUCCAGACUCCUACGGGAGGCAGCAGUGGGGAAUAUUGCACAAUGGG
RNAcentral lists this ribosomal RNA (332 nucleotides) under uncultured bacterium. RNAcentral's name for it is "bacterial SSU rRNA". It matches the Rfam family "Bacterial small subunit ribosomal RNA", at positions 47 to 375 of the family's 1533-position model. The record is from RNAcentral.